UACGGGGGGAGCAAGCGUUGCUCGGAUUUACUGGGCGUAAAGGGCGCGUAGGCGGCCACGACAAGUCACUUGUGAAAUCUCCGGGCUUAACUCGGAACGGUCAAGUGAUACUGUCGGGCUAGAGUGCAGAAGGGGCAACUGGAAUUCUCGGUGUAGCGGUGAAAUGCGUAGAUAUCGAGAGGAACACCUGCGGCGAAGGCGGGUUGCUGGGCUGACACUGACGCUGAGGCGCGAAAGCCAGGGGAGCGAACGGG
This 254-nucleotide ribosomal RNA is filed under the name uncultured bacterium. RNAcentral describes it as "partial 16S ribosomal RNA". It matches the Rfam family "Bacterial small subunit ribosomal RNA", at positions 524 to 776 of the family's 1533-position model. The record is from RNAcentral.